UAGGGAAUCUUCCGCAAUGGACGCAAGUCUGACGGAGCAACGCCGCGUGAGUGAAGAAGGAUUUCGGUUCGUAAAACUCUGUUGUUAGAGAAGAACAGCGCAUAGAGUAACUGUUAUGCGUGUGACGGUAUCUAACCAGAAAGCCACGGCUAACUACGUGCCAGCAGCCGCGGUAAUACGUAGGUCCCGAGCGUUGUCCGGAUUUAUUGGGCGUAAAGCGAGCGCAGGCGGUUAGAAAAGUCUGAAGUGAAAGGCAGUGGCUCAACCAUUGUAGGCUUUGGAAACUGUUUAACUUGAGUGCAGAAGGGGAGAGUGGAAUUCCAUGUGUAGCGGUGAAAUGCGUAGAUAUAUGGAGGAACACCGGUGGCGAAAGCGGCUCUCUGGUCUGUAUCUGACGCUGAGGCUCGAAAGCGUGGGGAGCGAACAGG
This 428-nucleotide ribosomal RNA is filed under the name Bacteroidota bacterium. RNAcentral describes it as "Bacteroidetes bacterium partial 16S ribosomal RNA". It matches the Rfam family "Bacterial small subunit ribosomal RNA", at positions 355 to 776 of the family's 1533-position model. The record is from RNAcentral. Lineage: Bacteria; Pseudomonadati; Bacteroidota.